This is a long non-coding RNA of Homo sapiens (human), 519 nucleotides long. The record is from Ensembl. Lineage: Eukaryota; Metazoa; Chordata; Mammalia; Primates; Hominidae.
AAUGCUAUGAAAAAGCUGAUAGAUAAUAGGAAGCUUUAAUAUCUCUACUCAUUUAAUCCAGAGUUUUACUCCCCGUCACCAUGGAGAAACUAUGCAGUGCUAUGAAAGAAUGCUCAUCAGUGUUUUGUGGUUUUUUUUCCAGCUAUCUCCUCUGCAGAACUCUGUGCUAAUGAUAGAAUUUGCAUACUAAUGAUAAUUGCAACCAAGAAAGCUGUAUUCUCUUUCUACUCGAGAUAGAGAGUCUCACUAUGCUGGCCAGACUCGUCUCAAACUUCUGGGCUCAAGCAAUCCUCCCACCUGCCUCAAUCUCCCAAAAUGCUGGAAUUACAGGCAUAAGCCAUCACACCCAGCCAGUAAUUGACUCUGAAAGUAACACACAAAGAUUGGAAAGUGAUCUAAGUUCUGAAUUCAAAUAUCAACACAUGCAUUUUGCUAUUUCUUUGUUCUUUAAUUGCAGCAAGAACAAAUAACAUGAGAUCUAUCUUCUUAUCAAAUUUGUAAGUAUAUAGUAGAGUAAUG